This is a long non-coding RNA of Rhineura floridana, 828 nucleotides long. RefSeq lists it as uncharacterized. The record is from RefSeq and is a predicted model, not a curated record. NCBI's taxonomy places the organism in Eukaryota, Metazoa, Chordata, Lepidosauria, Squamata, Rhineuridae. The transcript has 3 exons.
CAGAGUUGUUAGAGGUGCAGGAGGCCUUUUUCAUCUGGCCACCCUUCUGCUACACAACAAAGUGAAGGGACCUCCUUAGGUGGGCUUGGUUGAAGCCAAGAGACUGCGCUGAAGAUGCUCAGAAGCAAAAGAACACGAAAGACACAUCUUGAUUUAUUUCUGGAUAGGAAGCACAAGGAUGGAAAAAGGAGUAGCAGCAGCAGCAGCAGCAGCAGCAGCAACAACUAGAAGACGGACGUCAUGAGUCUCCCUUGACCUAUUUGAGCUGAUGUCCUUGUCUCUUUGUUUGCUUGUCUGGAUUUCCACAAAUCAUCCCAAUAUAUCCAUCCAGAUGGACCAAUCAGUUCUGUAGAGCACUCCCUGCUUUUAGCUGCUGCUGGGAUUUCCUUCCGCUCUGGCUGCAAAAAAGGUCAGCCAGCAACUAGGCAAGAAGGGUCCUGAAGUGGAGGAGAAAGCAGGUCAUUGCCAAACAAACUCUCUUCUGACAGGCUACACAAUGCAGAUUGUCAGAUCCCAUUGCCCCUGGGGAGGCUUCUGCAUAAUGACCUAAGGGUUUGGGGACCCUGCUCCAUCCUGGUGGAGGUGUCAAAGCGGGAGGGCAAAGGUGGAGGCUUCCCCUCCCUCAUGUUUCAGUCAUCAUGUGAGGAUUCCCUGGAAACACCUAUAUUUCUGGCAGACUCACUGGUUCUAUAUAGGCUGAGGGGCUAUUUGUUGACUCUCCAGUUUGUUGACUCUCCAGGGCCUAUCAGAGGGUGAGUGAGUCGGGGGGGGGAUUUGGCCCUCAGCCUGAAACUCAAAGGGGGCUUCCGUUUUAGACACUUCAUAACU